AAUAGAUACCCUGGUAGUCCACGCCGUAAACGAUGAGUGCCAAGUGUUAGAGGGUUUCCGCCCUUUAGUGCUGCAGCAAACGCAUUAAGCACUCCGCCUGGGGAGUACGGUCGCAAGACUGAAACUCAAAGGAAUUGACGGGGGCCCGCACAAGCGGUGGAGCAUGUGGUUUAAUUCGAAGCAACGCGAAGAACCUUACCAGGUCUUGACAUCCUCUGACAACCCUAGAGAUAGGGCUUCCCCUUCGGGGGCAGAGUGACAGGUGGUGCAUGGUUGUCGUCAGCUCGUGUCGUGAGAUGUUGGGUUAAGUCCCGCAACGAGCGCAACCCUUGAUCUUAGUUGCCAGCAUUCAGUUGGGCACUCUAAGGUGACUGCCGGUGACAAACCGGAGGAAGGUGGGGAUGACGUCAAAUCAUCAUGCCCCUUAUGACCUGGGCUACACACGUGCUACAAUGGGCAGAACAAAGGGCAGCGAAGCCGCGAGGCUAAGCCAAUCCCACAAAUCUGUUCUCAGUUCGGAUCGC
RNAcentral lists this ribosomal RNA (524 nucleotides) under uncultured bacterium. RNAcentral's name for it is "bacterial SSU rRNA". It matches the Rfam family "Bacterial small subunit ribosomal RNA", at positions 777 to 1301 of the family's 1533-position model. The record is from RNAcentral.